UACGUAGGGGGCAAGCGUUGUCCGGAAUCAUUGGGCGUAAAGCGCGUGUAGGCGGCCAGAAAAGUCCGCUGUGAAAACUCGAGGCUCAACUUCGGGCUGUCGGUGGAAACUUUCUGGCUAGAGUCCGGAAGAGGAGAAUGGAAUUCCUGGUGUAGCGGUGAAAUGCGCAGAUAUCAGGAAGAACACCCGUGGCGAAGGCGGUUCUCUGGGACGGUACUGACGCUGAGACGCGAAAGCGUGGGGAGCGAACAGG
Molecule: ribosomal RNA, 253 nt
Filed under: uncultured bacterium
Lineage: Bacteria
Description: partial 16S ribosomal RNA
Rfam family: Bacterial small subunit ribosomal RNA
Source: RNAcentral